This 757-nucleotide ribosomal RNA is filed under the name Meloidogyne africana. RNAcentral describes it as "eukaryotic LSU rRNA". It matches the Rfam family "Eukaryotic large subunit ribosomal RNA", at positions 358 to 954 of the family's 3401-position model. Lineage: Eukaryota; Metazoa; Nematoda; Chromadorea; Rhabditida; Meloidogynidae. The record is from RNAcentral.
GGAAAGUUGGAAAGCACUUUGAAGAGAGAGUUAAAGAGGACGUGAAACCGGUGAGGUGGAAACGGAUAGAGCUGGCGUAUCUUGCAUGUAUUCAGCCUUGCAACUGCCGCAACAGUCGGCUUGUCGCAUCUCCAGAUUGGGACGGCAGUCGGCUGUUUGUGACAGCCGUGGUGCAUUUGCAUGUAGAGAGCGCUGAGGCACCCGUAGUGGCGACAUGAACCCGGCUUAGAGGCCAGCUUGCUGGUACCCAAGCCGAGGGAUGCUGUCCCCUUCGGGUUGUAAGUAAUGUAUGGCUCACGGGCUCGGUUGGGCAAUUGAGCCGAGUGUCGGAGGCGGUCGCAUGCGACACGUGCCGGCUCGCGGUUCAUUCCCAACAUGAUGCUACCAUGCAUGCCCUCAGUGUAUAAGCCGGUCAUCUAUCCGACCCGUCUUGAAACACGGACCAAGGAGUUUAUCGUGUGCGCAAGUCAUUGGGCGUUCAAAACCCAAAGGCGCAAUGAAAGUGAAUGCCCUCGAAAGAGGCUGAUGUGCGAGUCCUUGUGCCACGGCAUAAGGAUGCAGCAUGGCCCCAUCCUGAUUGCUUGCAAUGGGAUGGCGGAAGAGCGUGCGCGACGAGACCCGAAAGAUGGUGAACUAUUCCUGAGCAGGAUGAAGCCAGAGGAAACUCUGGUGGAAGUCCGAAGCGAUUCUGACGUGCAAAUCGAUCGUCUGACUUGGGUAUAGGGGCGAAAGACUAAUCGAACCAUCUAGUAGCUGG